GUCAGCNGCGGACGGGUGAGGAACACGUNAGNRAUCGGNCUGUGAGURGGGGAUAUCGGGCCGAAAGGCGCGGCAAUCCCGCAUACGUUCCGGGGAACCGGAAGAAAGCUUGGCAACAGGCGCUCACAGGGGAGCUCGCGGCCCAUUAGCUAGUUGGGGGGGUAAUGGCCUACCAAGGCNACGAUGGGUAGCCGGCCUGAGAGGGUGAACGGCCACACUGGGACUGAGACACGGCCCAGACUCCUACGGGAGGCAGCAGUAGGGAAUCUUCCACAAUGGGCGCAAGCCUGAUGGAGCAACGCCGCGUGAGUGAAGACGGCCUUCGGGUUGUAAAGCUCUGUCUGUCGGGACGAAGACCGGCCCGGAAGGGCCGGGGAGCCGGUACCGGCGGAGGAAGCCCCUGCAAACUACGUGCCAGCAGCCGCGGUAAGACGUAGGGGGCAAGCGUUGUCCGGAAUUACUGGGCGUAAAGGGCGUGUAGGCGGUGCGAUACGUAGCGGUUUUAAGCCNCCGGCUCACCCGGRGGAGGGCGGCUA
This 536-nucleotide ribosomal RNA is filed under the name Sulfobacillus thermosulfidooxidans. RNAcentral's name for it is "bacterial SSU rRNA". It matches the Rfam family "Bacterial small subunit ribosomal RNA", at positions 91 to 630 of the family's 1533-position model. The record is from RNAcentral. Lineage: Bacteria; Bacillati; Bacillota; Clostridia; Eubacteriales; Clostridiales Family XVII. Incertae Sedis.